Molecule: transfer RNA, 73 nt
Filed under: Ophiophagus hannah (king cobra)
Lineage: Eukaryota; Metazoa; Chordata; Lepidosauria; Squamata; Elapidae
Rfam family: tRNA
About the family: Transfer RNA (tRNA) molecules are approximately 80 nucleotides in length. Their secondary structure includes four short double-helical elements and three loops (D, anti-codon, and T loops).
Source: Rfam by way of RNAcentral
GCCAGUCUGGCCUAAUGGUUAAGGCAUCAGGCUAGAAAGCGGGAGACUGUGAGUUCAAAUCCCACCUUAGGUA